CUUCCCUGUUACAUCUCUACCACACUCGGCUCCUCAGAUGGGUGAGUUACCGCUCUCUCUAUCGGUUGCGCUGUUUGUUUACUGCUUACUAUCUGGGUGCGUUGCCUCCUAUUUAGUCAGCUGUUUUGGUGAAGUGACAUUUAGGUUUGGCUAAAGUGGUUUUGCUUGUUACAUUUAAUAAAUCAAGUAACAGACCAAAAGCAUUAUUCAACACAAUAAAUAAACUUACCAAACCUCCAUCUCAUGUUGCUCUAGUUUCUGAUGAUCUUUGCAUUUCAUUCUUGGCUCACAUGCUAGAAAAGACAGAUGCCGUAAACCAGUGCCUCUUUAAUUAUGCCACUAUCAUUAGUUAUCUGCCGAAUCAACCUGGUCAAUCCCUGCCUUUUUUUUUCUCUGUCUACUCCUUCUGUCUCUGAGUUAAUCCUGAAAUCCAACCCUUCAUCUUGUCAUCUUGACCCUGCUCCUACUCCUCUACUGAAACUUUGCCAUUCAGUUAUUUCUGCACCUAUCUCUCACUUCAUCAACGCAUCUCUUACCUCUGCUUCAUUUCCUCUGUCACUCAAAACUGCAGCUGUUGCCCCUGUUCUCAAGAAACCCAACCUUGAUCCCUCAGUUUUAUAUAAUUAUCGUCCCAUUUCAAAUCUCCCCUUCAUAGCUAAAUUACUGGAAAGUACUGUUGCCUCCCAGCUUCAGUCUUUUCUAGUUGAAAAUAAUCUUUUUGAUCCUUUUCAAUCUGGUUUUCGCCCCUUGCAUAGUACUGAAAUUGCACUAGUUAAUGUACUGAAUGAUCUGCUUCUCUCUGGUGAUUCUGGUUCUCUGUCUAUGCUUUUGCUGCUCGACCUCAGCUCUGCUUUCGAUACCGUCUCCCAUCAACUACUCAUUUUGCGCCUUUCGGAUGUGGGUUUUUCUGGUGCUGCUCUUUCCUGGUUCUCCUCCUAUCUCUCUGACAGACUGUUCUACAUUUCACUUCAGAAUUUUCGCUCACCCACUGUCCCCCUGAAGCAAGGUGUCCCUCAGGGAUCCGUUCUUGGGCCAUUAUUAUUUAUAUAUAAUCUAUAUAAUUCCUC
This 1067-nucleotide long non-coding RNA is filed under the name Carassius auratus (goldfish). RNAcentral's name for it is "lncRNA (ENSCARG00000020675.1)". The record is from RNAcentral. Lineage: Eukaryota; Metazoa; Chordata; Actinopteri; Cypriniformes; Cyprinidae.